RNAcentral lists this ribosomal RNA (573 nucleotides) under uncultured organism. Its description in RNAcentral is "bacterial SSU rRNA". It matches the Rfam family "Bacterial small subunit ribosomal RNA", at positions 428 to 1010 of the family's 1533-position model. The record is from RNAcentral.
AAGCCCUUUUAUGGGGGAAGAGACUGACGACGGUACCCCAAGAAUAAGUCCCGGCUAACUACGUGCCAGCAGUCGCUGUACAACGUACGGGACAAGCGUUCUCCGGAUUUACUGGGCGUACACAGCGUUGAGGCUGUUCCGUAAGUUGCGCGUUAAAGUCCCGGGCUCAACUCGGGGAGGUCGUUCAAUACUGCGGAACUUGAGGGCAGCAGAGGGAGGCGUGAAUUCCCGGUGUAGCGGUGACAUGCGUAGAUAUCGGGAGGAACCCAUUGGCGAAUGCGGCCUCCUGGGCUAGCUCCUGACUCUGAACGCGAAAGCUAGGGGAGCGAACGGGAUUAGAAACCCCGGUAUGUCCUAGCCGUAAACGAUGGAUGCUGGGUGUGGCGGGUAUAGAUUCCCUUCCGUGCCGAAGCUAACGCGUUAAGCAUCCCGCCUGGGGACUACGGCAGCAAGGCUAUAACUCAAACGAAUUGACGGGUCCCCGCACAAGCAGCGGAGCGUGUGGUUUAAUUCGAUGCUACACGAAGAACCUUACCUGGGUUUGACAUGCAAGUAGUAGUGAAGCGAAAGCGG